Molecule: ribosomal RNA, 407 nt
Filed under: uncultured bacterium
Lineage: Bacteria
Description: partial 16S ribosomal RNA
Rfam family: Bacterial small subunit ribosomal RNA
Source: RNAcentral
GACGAACGCUGGCGGCGUGCCUAAUACAUGCAAGUAGGACGCAGAUGCGAACGGGUGAGUAACGCGUAGGUAACUACCUAUUAGAGGGGGAUAACUAUUGGAAACGAUAGCCAAUACCGCAUACUAGUAGAUGGCCCUGCGUUGUAUUAGCUAGUAGGUAGGGUAAAGGCCUACCUAGGCAACGUUACAUGGCCGACCGUGGUGGGGGAUCGGCCCCACCGGGACUGGGAGACGGCCCAGACUCCUACGGGAGGCAGCAGUAGGGAAUCUUCGGUAAUGGGGGGAACCCUGACCGAGCAACGCCGCGUGAGUGGAGAAGGUUUUCGGAUCGUAAAGCUCUGUUGUUAAGGAAGCGGUACUUAACCAGAAAGGGACGGCUAACUACGUGCCAGCAGCCGCGGUAAUAC